Molecule: long non-coding RNA, 985 nt
Organism: Amphimedon queenslandica
Lineage: Eukaryota; Metazoa; Porifera; Demospongiae; Haplosclerida; Niphatidae
Exons: 2
Source: RefSeq, a predicted model, not a curated record
GGCUCUGAUACUUGAGAGAGAAUGCUCACUUGGAUUCCAUUUCAGAACAAAUUUGAUGGUCUCACAAAAUUCAUCCAAGUGUGCCUGAUAAGCUAAUAUCAUGUCUCCAGCAUCUUGUAUUGAGUAUUUGUUCACUAUAGUCUCCAAUAGAGCAACAUUAGUGAUAGAACACUCAUCCUCAAUCACUUCCAUUAUAUCAUCAAAGCUAUUGGCAUCUUUCAAUCGCGGCUUUAAUUCUGGACGACAUCUUCCAAGGUAAGUUUUAAGGUGAGUCAAAGACGGAAUUGAUUUUUCAAUAAGAGGAGCAAUAUCAUCAAUAAGUGUACCACGCAAAUCACCCAUUCUAUCAAACUCAGCUUUAUAGCCAGGAUGAACUAUGACCUCUACUACACCUAUAUUAUAGCGUAAUGACAUUGAAUUGUGUAUAUAAUAAUUAAUUUUACUAACCAUGUGCAGUAGCAUCAGUGUUGGUAUUUACUUGAAUCUCACUACUACUAUCUUGUAAUUGUUGAGAUGCUGUAUUUAUCAGUUAUAAUAGCAAGUGUAUAAUACCCAGUAAUUAUAUCAUUACCUGAAAAUGAUGAAGUAUUUGUUUGUUGACAAGGUGGCAUUACCGCUACUGCUGAAGGAAAUGAAUUUCCUAUUGCAUUAGAAUAAUUAUAAAUAAGCGAAGAAAGUGUAUUUAUAAAACUGUUCAUUUACCAUAUUUCAUUAUUAUAUCACUAGCUAAAGACACUGCUUCCUUUGAUUUCAUUAGAAUGCUUGUCAGAGUACAUAACUUGUUGUGAUCUUCAGCUACAGCACUUAAUAUUAGUAACAUUGGAUCUCCUACCAAUGAAAAACCACAACUCUUUACUUCUGCUAAUGUAUCCUUAGAUAUCAAUCCCUCUGUAUGUAAGAGAUCAACUGAUUCCUCAGUAAGAACAACUUGAGCUAGUCUACCAAUAUAACCCUGCAACAUCUCACUAACAGGAUCUGCCACUAU